RNAcentral lists this small nuclear RNA (275 nucleotides) under Salvator merianae (Argentine black and white tegu). RNAcentral's name for it is "7SK RNA (ENSSMRG00000011236.1)". It matches the Rfam family "7SK RNA". From Rfam's summary of the family: 7SK was discovered as an abundant small nuclear RNA in the mid-70s but a possible function has only recently been suggested. Two independent studies have found that 7SK RNA binds the CDK9/cyclin T complex (known as elongation factor P-TEFb). Lineage: Eukaryota; Metazoa; Chordata; Lepidosauria; Squamata; Teiidae. The record is from RNAcentral.
GGUUGUGAGGGUGAUCUGAAUAUGAUAUCUGUCAUCCUAUUGAUUGCCAGGGCUGGUCUGGCUGCUUAGAUGGUGUCCCCUUUCUCUCUCAUUGUUUCAUGUGAACUCUUCUAAAGCUGUGUGCUCAGUGGAAGAAGAUGACCAUCCCAGAUAAGAAUGUGUCNUUCUUUGGUCAAGAAUAUAUACUUUGUUCAUUGCGUAUACUUUGGGUCCAACCACACUAAAGGUUUAAAUCAGUGGCUACUAGAAUAGAUGCCUUGGUACGGCCUCCAGGU